GACGAACGCUGGCGGCGUGCUUAACACAUGCAAGUCGAACGGAAAGGCCCUGCUUGCAGGGUCCUCGGGUGGCGAACGGGUGAGUAACACGUGGGUGAUCCGCCCUCCACUUCGGGAUAGGCCUGGGAAACUGGGUCUAUACCCGGAUAGCAGCCAUUUUUUGUGUGUUGGUUGGAAAGUUUUUUCGGUGUAGGGUGAGCUCGCGGCCUAUCGGCUUGUUGGUGGGGUAAUGGCCUACCAAGGCGGCGACGGGUAGCCGGCCUGAGAGGGUGGACGGCCACAUUGGGACUGAGAGACGGCCCAGACGCCUACGGGAGGCAGCAGUGGGGAAUAUUGCACAAUGGGCGCAAGCCUGAUGCAGCGACGCCGCGGGGGGGAGGACGGCCUUCGGGUUGUAAACUCCUUUCGCUAGGGACGAAGCUUUUUGUGACGGUACCUAGAUAAGAAGCACCGGCUAACUACGUG
This 465-nucleotide ribosomal RNA is filed under the name uncultured bacterium. RNAcentral describes it as "partial 16S ribosomal RNA". It matches the Rfam family "Bacterial small subunit ribosomal RNA", at positions 28 to 507 of the family's 1533-position model. The record is from RNAcentral.